Molecule: long non-coding RNA, 259 nt
Filed under: Ictidomys tridecemlineatus (thirteen-lined ground squirrel)
Lineage: Eukaryota; Metazoa; Chordata; Mammalia; Rodentia; Sciuridae
Description: lncRNA (ENSSTOG00000032702.1)
Source: RNAcentral
CAAUAUCAUUAUAAUUCAGAUUGAAAAGUUGUUUCGUUCUGUCUCUUUUAGAAACAAAAGAAGAAAAAAAAGCCAGAGGUGUUUAACUUUUCAGCCAUUCACUUGAUUCAUGAUCCCCAAGAUUUUGCAGAAAAAUUACUAAAGCAGCUGGAGAGCUCUAAGGAAAGGUUUGAAGUGAAGAUGAUGCUCAUGAAUCUCAUCUCCAGAUUGGUGGGAAUUCACGAGGUUUGAAAUACCUUAUGUUUCUCUUCUAAAAUCU